UCCCCGAUAGUCUAGUGGUGAGGAUAUCUGCUUGUCAUUGGGGAAUUAUUCCCUGACAACGAUUCGCAGGGGACCGGGGUUCAAUUCCCCGUCGAGGAG
This is a transfer RNA of Colletotrichum fioriniae PJ7, 99 nucleotides long. It matches the Rfam family "tRNA". Rfam says of the family: Transfer RNA (tRNA) molecules are approximately 80 nucleotides in length. Their secondary structure includes four short double-helical elements and three loops (D, anti-codon, and T loops). The record is from Rfam. Lineage: Eukaryota; Fungi; Ascomycota; Sordariomycetes; Glomerellales; Glomerellaceae.